UUUGGUAUCUUUUUCCUUCCGUUACAACGCACGGAUUUUUUUGCUAGUCUCUACUAUUAAAGCAGGAUCGAACGUCGUGAUAGUUCGACCUCCCCUCUUACGAUCACGCAUAAAAAAAAUCGCAGGCAACAACCCACGUUCGGGGGCAGCGAAAAAAAAAACAGAAAGAACCCGCAUGGCGCACGUUCUCCAUCUCCUUCCCCGACCUGUCUGUCUCCGUCCUCAGAUCUCAGCGCCUCCUUCCCCAUGUCCACUGGACGAGGCCCUCUCCAUCGGCCCUAUCCAGCGGACGGCCCCCUCUCCGGCGACCAGACGGGCGCUUCCCUUUACUCCCAUCAAUUUGGCAUCGCCCCGCCCAUGGAGCUUUCACCAUGCCCGCCAGCGGCCAUGGUCGGGACCGACACCAUACUUGGAUGGAGAGGUCUGACAACGGACCAAUGCGACCGUGGUGAUCUGACCACGGCGGUGGAUGCGGCGACGGAGGUCUAGGAGGAGAGAUACGUGCGCUACAACUCUGAAGGCGGCGACGGAGACCAGGGAGGAGGAGAAGGAAAGGUAAGCCAGCUACACAGUGGGGGAGGUCGAGGAGACGAGGGAGAGGCACGCUCUCAGGUCUCGGCAGUGUGUGUAGGGUGCUCGCUAGAAUUCCCCACUCAUGGAAGCAGGCGAAGUAGUGCACCCUGCCACCGAACAUGACAGCUCUGAGUAUUGGUUAAGAAGAUUUCCAACGCCAAAUCUGGUAUCACCUUGCCCUUCUUUUCUAAUUUUGAAAACAAUCGGAGAUGCCUGUGUCCUUAUCGUCUGUUUGGUUGACUUCGUGUUAGCGUCGUAGAAUUAAACUAAUUUAUUUAUAUGAUGUUGGUCAGUUUAGGAUAUUUAUUAUUUCCUUGGUGUUUGAUGUGUUGCUGCAUACCAGAACGAAGCUACAAAGGUGAACCAGCUAGCGAUGGUUGCAGGGAACAAGACAAUGGAUCCUCGUGAUGAGAGCAGAUGCGUACUGCUUGGUUUGGAUGGCAGAGGCAAACCGAAUAAGUGGGGUAAGGUUCUCUCAAAAAAAAAAGUGGGGUAAGGAACACGCACCACAUGGCCCAGAUGGUGAGCUCAUCUCCUCGCUUCUUUUAUUUUAUUUUAUCUGUGUGGAGUGAUGUGCUACAGCCUUAGUAAAAUAUCUCCAUAUCCAUACUCCUUAAAUCAGUGUAUGUUUGGUAGUGAUCUUUAAGGCUGUCUUCUUUCUAAUCUUGUUAGUGGGAAAAAUCAAGAAACAUUCCCUGAUAUUACAUAAUUGCAAACUUAUUCAGUGUCUGGUGCAGUUCUAAUCUCAUAUUGUUACUGAUGAAGAACUGAAAACACUGCAAGAUGCGAUGGAAGAGAAACUCCAGGGCAAGUGACAACUUAGCCGAGACUUAAGGUAAGCUCUUAUUUCAACAUCCAUGUCAUUUCUACUUAUUAUAUUAAGUUGGAUUUCUAAUACAGUUUAUGUUGUCAACACAACAAUAAGUAAUGAGCUUGAUAACCUAGACCAUCAAGUGCUUUCCUAGAGGAAAGCAUAAUCUCAAGAUGAAGGAGAAAGACAUGCUAAAGGCACAACUACUGGUCUUAAUUUUCACCACGCCAUGUACUAAUAUUUGUUCUGGAAGACAAUGUUCGACCUUGCGUUGGCGGCAUGCAGGCCAUUUUAUUAUGUAGUAUAACUAAUUAACUAUUCACUAUAAAAACAGUGUAUUCUGGGGGUUCGGGGUUGAUAGGAAUAGAAGUUCCAAUGGAAUUUGAGGGAGUUAAUUUUGGCCGUGUUCCAUAAAAAUGUUGGUAGCACUGAAAUCUAUCUUUAGUUGGUAUAACCAUAAGUAAUCACCGCAUUGAACAUAUCGAAUGAAUGUCUCUAUUGGAAGGGGGGUUGUCGGAACAUCAUUUAUUUUCCCACUUGCUGCUGUAUUAAAUGUGUCAUUUGGCCUUAAUUUUGUGCACUGCAUUUUUCUUCACUCCUCUUUGUUCUUUACUAAGUUAGAAUCAUAUAUAAAUCGAAUUAUCUUUGUGGUGUCUUUCAGACCCCAUGAUCGUCAUUUUGCACUUAAGACACAGAACCACCAGAAAGUGUUCUCCCUUAUGUAUCAUGUUGUCAUGGGUGAUGAUCCAGAGGGUAAUGUAGUACCCAGUCUGCUUAAUCUUUGAACAUGCACCAUCAGGUGUAGCAACAAAAAGAAUGCUGGAAUGUAAAGGGUCACAGCAGUUACAUUUGCACAACAUUUCUGCCUUUUGGUUAUGAGGUAAAAACUACAAACUAUUUCUUUACAAAGAAUCUGACCAAGUACUCACUUCCCUGUUGGAUUUCAGUUUCACGGAAUAGAUUAUUUAUAUGACUGGGAGGUUCAAGUGACGGACCACAAUUUUGCAGGGUGAUAUACUUAGGCAAAGCUAGAAUUUUUGUUUGGGUUAGUGUUAACCGUUGAGCAGUUUUGUUGUGUCCACCUUGGUGAUUGCAAACCACUGCAUACUUCAAUAAAGACUGCCACAUCAAUUUUGAUGUGUGCAGGGCUCUUCUACUUCUCUUUGUUCUCAAAGAAUUUUGUACUGUAGGCUGUACUACUGAAUUUCAGGGUCGCAGCAGCAAGGGUGAGGUGGAGUGCGGGGAAUGCAGGCAUAGGCAAGAUGUUGCGCUGAGGUUACCAGCUACACAUGCAUCACUGCCUCCAGUCAAAUUUGGGCGACUGGCAUUUCGGAAAAAUAUGCAAAAGAUCAUGCUGGGGCACGCGACGACACCUCACGCAUUGACACCAAGUAAAACCUAUAUCGGAUGCCAAGGAGGUAUAACGGUAAAGAAAUAGUGGAAGAGAAACGAAAGAACCCAUUUAAAGAUAGGUUGUUUUAUGGAAAUUAUCAAGAUUAUGUAUCCUUGCAGUUGUAUUGCUACUACCGAAGUUCAUUUAUUCAUGCCCUACUUCUAUC
Molecule: long non-coding RNA, 2943 nt
Organism: Triticum urartu
Lineage: Eukaryota; Viridiplantae; Streptophyta; Magnoliopsida; Poales; Poaceae
Source: RefSeq, a predicted model, not a curated record